CCUACGUGAGGCAGCAGUGAGGAAUAUUGGUCAAUGGGCGCGAGCCUGAACCAGCCAAGUAGCGUGAAGGAUGACUGCCCUACGGGUUGUAAACUUCUUUUAUAAAGGAAUAAAGUGAGGCACGUGUGGGCUUAGCGAGAGUACCUGAAGAAAAAGCAUCGGCUAACUCCGUGCCAGCAGCCGCGGUAAUACGGAGGAUGCGAGCGUUAUCCGGAUUUAUUGGGUUUAAAGGGUGCGUAGGCGGAAUAUCAAGUCAGCGGUAAAAAUUCGGGGCUCAACCCCGUCGUGCCGUUGAAACUGAUGUUCUUGAGUGGGCGAGAAGUAUGCGGAAUGCGUGGUGUAGCGGUGAAAUGCAUAGAUAUCACGCAGAACUCCGAUUGCGAAGGCAGCAUACCGGCGCCCAACUGACGCUGAAGCACGAAAGCGUGGGUAUCGAACAGGAUUAGAUACCCUUGUAGUC
This 460-nucleotide ribosomal RNA is filed under the name uncultured bacterium. RNAcentral describes it as "partial 16S ribosomal RNA". It matches the Rfam family "Bacterial small subunit ribosomal RNA", at positions 338 to 795 of the family's 1533-position model. The record is from RNAcentral.